GGCUCUUGUGCAGAAUACUCGUUUAGUGCCAACAAAAUACAAGGGAGCUUGAAAGCAAAGUGUAAUGAUUCAUCUCCACCAUGUCCAAUUGUAUAUAAUUCAACACAAGCAUACAGAUACCAAGGAUGCUAUCACUUGUCGAAAAAGAAUCAAACUAAAGAAGCAAGAACAAAUGUUAGUGCAGACCUGAAAGCAUUAUUUAGUGUUAUUAUACUAUUUCUUAUGAUUACUGUAUACUGUUCCAAAAGCUUUGCUAAUUGAAUCCAAAUUUAUUUUUAAAAGAGAAAAAAGGUACGUCGCACAUCGUACGUGUAUCAA
Magallana angulata is the source of this 318-nucleotide long non-coding RNA. RefSeq lists it as uncharacterized. The transcript has 3 exons. The record is from RefSeq and is a predicted model, not a curated record. NCBI's taxonomy places the organism in Eukaryota, Metazoa, Mollusca, Bivalvia, Ostreida, Ostreidae.